Molecule: ribosomal RNA, 475 nt
Filed under: Pseudomonas sp.
Lineage: Bacteria; Pseudomonadati; Pseudomonadota; Gammaproteobacteria; Pseudomonadales; Pseudomonadaceae
Description: bacterial SSU rRNA
Rfam family: Bacterial small subunit ribosomal RNA
Source: RNAcentral
AACGCUGGCGGCAGGCCUAACACAUGCAAGUCGAGCGGUAGAGAGAAGCUUGCUUCUCUUGAGAGCGGCGGACGGGUGAGUAAUGCCUAGGAAUCUGCCUGGUAGUGGGGGAUAACGCUCGGAAACGGACGCUAAUACCGCAUACGUCCUACGGGAGAAAGCAGGGGACCUUCGGGCCUUGCGCUAUCAGAUGAGCCUAGGUCGGAUUAGCUAGUUGGUGAGGUAAUGGCUCACCAAGGCGACGAUCCGUAACUGGUCUGAGAGGAUGAUCAGUCACACUGGAACUGAGACACGGUCCAGACUCCUACGGGAGGCAGCAGUGGGGAAUAUUGGACAAUGGGCGAAAGCCUGAUCCAGCCAUGCCGCGUGUGUGAAGAAGGUCUUCGGAUUGUAAAGCACUUUAAGUUGGGAGGAAGGGCAUUAACCUAAUACGUUAGUGUUUUGACGUUACCGACAGAAUAAGCACCGGCUAACU